GGCACUUUCUCCAUGAGCAGUGGGGCUGAGGAAAGCAGCAGUGGCACCUCUGCAGAGUCAGAUAGAUGCCGAGACCCCAGGGUACCGGGGUACCUUGCUCAAGCCCUGGUCCUCCCUCUUCUUGAGGAUCCUGAUAUAUGUUGGAAGAAUAAUCAGCCAUGAAAAUGAGCACCACUGGAUGCAUACUUUCUGUUAUUUUUUUCCCCCUUAGAUGGACUAUUUUUCAUGAAGGCAGGUGUUGGAUUGAUGAAACUGCUAAAAAUCCCAAGUUUCUAGAACCUAUCCCCUUUUCUCAGAAACUGUCCACAAUUCAACAAGGCCGGUGGGAAGAGACUUUAAGGCUAAAUCAAUCCAAAGUUCUUUGGGCUGUUGUCAAAUUCAGAAGUGGGGGUGGGUGGGAUGAGAUCCCAGAACUUCCAAAUAUCCUUGAGAUCUUUAACAUGAGAACUGUCUACUGAGUGAGGGAUGACUGAAAAUUUUGGCUGAGUCUACUUGGGUUAUUUGUCUACUUGAGAACAAUAUUAAAUCUCAUUUUUCUGUCAAAA
Antechinus flavipes (yellow-footed antechinus) is the source of this 545-nucleotide long non-coding RNA. RefSeq lists it as uncharacterized. The record is from RefSeq and is a predicted model, not a curated record. NCBI's taxonomy places the organism in Eukaryota, Metazoa, Chordata, Mammalia, Dasyuromorphia, Dasyuridae. The transcript has 2 exons.